Molecule: long non-coding RNA, 1038 nt
Filed under: Anas platyrhynchos platyrhynchos (common mallard)
Lineage: Eukaryota; Metazoa; Chordata; Aves; Anseriformes; Anatidae
Description: lncRNA (ENSAPLG00000030743.1)
Source: RNAcentral
AUGGCAGCACGAAGCAAAGCAAGGCAAGAAAGACAGCCCAUUCUGCCCUCGGCAAGAGGAAUCUCUUCCAUGCAGGUGCCCACAGGAGGGUAUUUCUGUGCUCAGGUGGCAGCCGGUUCCAGGGAUGGCGCAUGGAGCCGUGCACUCUGGACCUGGCGUCACCGCGUGAUUCAUGUGUUCACCUGCCCUUCCUCUAGCCUCUGUUCUGACUCGUUGUCCUUUGCUCCCUACAGGUUGCAGCCAGGGAAACUCUUCCUGUGUCUCACACACGGCGCUUCCCUUCGUUCGAGGAGACCCCCAAGCAGCUGCAUCGCAGCACACAAAAACCCAAGGGGCACAAUCAGAGGACCCAGACACACAAAGGGAGCUGCCUGGAAAGCGCAGCUCGGAGGAGCACUUCCCUCUGCCCUCCCGUUUCCCCCAGGUGCGAUGCACACUGCAGGUGCUGCCUCUUGUCCCUCACAGCUCUGCCUCCGGGGUGCAGCCUCCUGGGGAGGCAGCUCCGUCUGUGGGGCUGGGGUGGGAUGUCCGGGUCCGUGGGGAGCAUCGCACCCACGCUGUGUGCUGGAAGGAGCCAUGAGCGGCUCCUCCGGGAGCUGGUGCUGUGCCCUGACCCUCCUGCAUCCCCCCUGCAGCUGGGAAAGGACGGACAUAGUCAGGGCUCUUUGGUGCUGGAGGUGGAAGGGAGCCCGUGGUGCCUGCUGCAAGGGAUGGGGACAGAGGCCACCACCGGCUGCCACCUCCAGUCGCCUUCCUGCCACCGCAUCUGCCACGAGGCGGAACUGCCGGGAGACUUUGCCGGGGGGAGGAAGGCAGAAAAACCACACCGAGUGGAAGGAGAGUCGUCUGCACGUCUUCUCGGAGUUAAAAAUAAAGAGGAUUUUGCUCGCAGGAGGCGGUUUGUUCUGCUGUGCUGCUGACGGCAUGCGAGCACGCUGCACGCUUCUGCCAUGGAAGGCCAAAAGCGCCAUGCCAAAAAUGGGAACUUUCUGGCUAUUCCGCAUGCCUGAGAUCGAAUGGUUUCGCCGAGCCGCCUGA